RNAcentral lists this ribosomal RNA (481 nucleotides) under uncultured bacterium. RNAcentral describes it as "bacterial SSU rRNA". It matches the Rfam family "Bacterial small subunit ribosomal RNA", at positions 29 to 507 of the family's 1533-position model. The record is from RNAcentral.
AUUAAACGCUGGCGCAUGCCUUACACAUGCAAGUCGAACGGCAGCACGGGGCAACCUGGUGGCGAGUGGCGAACGGGUGAGUAAAGCAUCGGAACGUGCCCUGGAGUGGGGGAUAACGUAGCGAAAGUUACGCUAAUACCGCAUAUUCUGUGAGCAGGAAAGCAGGGGAUCGCAAGACCUUGCGCUCUGGGAGCGGCCGAUGUCGGAUUAGCUAGUUGGUGGGGUAAAGGCCUACCAAGGCGACGAUCCGUAGCGGGUCUGAGAGGAUGAUCCGCCACACUGGGACUGAGACACGGCCCAGACUCCUACGGGAGGCAGCAGUGGGGAAUUUUGGACAAUGGGCGCAAGCCUGAUCCAGCCAUGCCGCGUGAGUGAAGAAGGCCUUCGGGUUGUAAAGCUCUUUCGGCCGGGAAGAAAUCGCAUGGGUCAAUACCCUGUGUGGAUGACGGUACCGGAAUAAGAAGCACCGGCUAACUACGUG